Molecule: unclassified non-coding RNA, 197 nt
Filed under: uncultured Ascomycota
Lineage: Eukaryota; Fungi; Ascomycota
Description: sequence contains ITS2
Source: RNAcentral
AGUACCAUCGAUCAUUCGUUGAUCGGAUAUGGGCCGUUUUUGCGCUCGUUGUUGCGCUGGCCUGAAAUCGAGUUUGCUUUUCGCUUCCGCCCUGUUUUUAAAGGCGUCAUAGUUGACCUUUCGUGGUCAUCUUUCGCCCGAGGGGAGGAAGAAUGAAAGGCGACGACGGUAUCAACCGUUGACCAAUAUUUUCAAAA